UCUAGCAGUGGUCAGCUCUCCAGGCAGCAUCAUGCCUGUGAUCAUGUUGCACUGCUGGGAGAGGAAUGCCCUGUCUGCUUCCUCCAGCUGUCCCUGCACUGACCUGGUGACAUGUGGCACUGGUGCAAGGCAGAACUGUGCUUCCUUGAAAGUGAGCUAAGCAUCACUUUGGCUGCUUAGUUCUAGAGUGGGAGCAGACACA
This is a small nucleolar RNA of Eptesicus fuscus (big brown bat), 202 nucleotides long. RefSeq annotates it as small nucleolar RNA SNORA74. The transcript has a single exon. The record is from RefSeq and is a predicted model, not a curated record. Lineage: Eukaryota; Metazoa; Chordata; Mammalia; Chiroptera; Vespertilionidae.